This 497-nucleotide ribosomal RNA is filed under the name uncultured bacterium. Its description in RNAcentral is "partial 16S ribosomal RNA". It matches the Rfam family "Bacterial small subunit ribosomal RNA", at positions 28 to 507 of the family's 1533-position model. The record is from RNAcentral.
GAUGAACGCUGGCGGCGUGCCUAAUACAUGCAAGUCGAGCGAACAGACGAGGAGCUUGCUCCUCUGACGUUAGCGGCGGACGGGUGAGUAACACGUGGAUAACCUACCUAUAAGACUGGGAUAACUUCGGGAAACCGGAGCUAAUACCGGAUAAUAUAUUGAACCGCAUGGUUCAAUAGUGAAAGACGGUUUUGCUGUCACUUAUAGAUGGAUCCGCGCCGCAUUAGCUAGUUGGUAAGGUAACGGCUUACCAAGGCGACGAUGCGUAGCCGACCUGAGAGGGUGAGCGCCAACACGGGAACGGAGACAGGGCCGAGACCCCGAGGGGAGGAACAAGGAGGGAAUCUUCGGAAAGGGGGGAAAGCUUGACGGAGCAACGCGGGGGGAGUGAUAAAGGUUUUGGGAUGGAAAAACUUUUUUAUGGGGGAAGAAAAAAUGUGUAAGUAACUAUGCACGUUUUGACGGUACCUAACAAAAAAGCCAGGGCUAACUAGGUG